AUAUGUUAAUUUAACAAUGCUGUGGAAUGUAGUGAAAAUCUACAACUGUGCCGCAACGGUGUAUUUUUGGUAUUUUCCAAAAUAAGUCCGAUCUUCAGCAAAAAAUUUUUAAACUUGCUUAGGCAAGUU
RNAcentral lists this small RNA (129 nucleotides) under Minisyncoccota. The record is from RNAcentral. Lineage: Bacteria; Bacillati.